GUCUAAUCUGCCCAAUGAUUUUUAUUUAAUGGCUGCAGUAUUUAUAACUGUACAAAGGUAGCAUAAUAAUUAGUUUUUUAAUUGAAAACUAGAAUGAAAGAUUAAAUGAAAUAUAUUCUAUAUAAAUAAAAUUAAAAAUUAAAAUUAAAAUUUAAGUAAAAAUUCUUAAAUUAUUUUAAAAGACGAGAAGACCCUAUAGAAUUUUAUUUUUUAUUGUUUUAAAAUUUAAUAAUAAAUUUAAAUAAAUAUUAAAAAAUUUGAUUGGGGUAAUUUUAAAAUUAAAUUAAUUUUUAUUUUAAAAACAUAAAUUAAUGAAUUUUUAAUC
Molecule: ribosomal RNA, 325 nt
Filed under: Praon longicorne
Lineage: Eukaryota; Metazoa; Arthropoda; Insecta; Hymenoptera; Braconidae
Description: partial 16S ribosomal RNA
Source: RNAcentral